Molecule: ribosomal RNA, 440 nt
Filed under: uncultured bacterium
Lineage: Bacteria
Description: partial 16S ribosomal RNA
Rfam family: Bacterial small subunit ribosomal RNA
Source: RNAcentral
CCUACGGGAGGCAGCAGUAGGGAAUAUUGCUCAAUGGGCGAAACCCUGAAGCAGCAACGCCGCGUGGAGGAUGAAGGUUUUCGGAUUGUAAACUCCUUUUGUUAGAGAAGAUAAUGACGGUAUCUAACGAAUAAUCACCGGCUAACUCCGUGCCAGCAGCCGCGGUAAUACGGAGGGUGCAGGCGUUACGCGGAGUGACUGGGCGUAAAGGGCGCGUAGGCGGGAUAGCAAGUCAGAUGUGAAAUCCUAUGGAUUAACCAUAGAAUUGCAUUUGAAACUGUUAUUCUAGAGGAUGGGAGAGGUAGGUGGAAUUCUUGGUGUAGGGGGAAAAUCCGUAGAGAUCAAGAGGAAUACUCAUUGCGAAGGCGACCUGCUAGAAUAUAACUGACGCUGAUGCGCGAAAGCGUGGGGAGCAAACAGGAUUAGAUACCCGAGUAGUC